CACCUCCUUCCGAUCUUUCUCAAAUAUCACUCUCUCCGGGAGGACUUUCUCUUCAUCCUGUUCUUCCAUUCCUUUCGCUGUUUCCUUGAGGUCUUUUUCUUCUCGUACAGGCCAUGUCUUGCAAGCCUGUGUUUGGGUUCAUUUUUCUUUGCAUAAUCCAAGGAAUCGUAAAUCAUGCCAAAGCCAGUUGUCUUGCUACCACCAAAAUGAGUUCUGAAUC
This is a non-coding RNA of Vicugna pacos (alpaca), 220 nucleotides long. The record is from RefSeq and is a predicted model, not a curated record. Lineage: Eukaryota; Metazoa; Chordata; Mammalia; Artiodactyla; Camelidae.